Molecule: long non-coding RNA, 1882 nt
Filed under: Marmota monax (woodchuck)
Lineage: Eukaryota; Metazoa; Chordata; Mammalia; Rodentia; Sciuridae
Source: RNAcentral
CAAAGAAGGGAAAUGACUGAAACCAUAGAAAUCAUGAGGGAACAGAAGUUCCUCAUGAGUUAAGUUUAGAAGUAUUGUAGCUACACUAGGAUCCUAGCUGUUGUGUUUAAGAUCUAUAGUUACCUACCUUAAGAAUGAAGAGCAGGAGAGAGAUCCAAGAUAGCCGACAAAAGGGAGGCUGCAUUCCUUGUUGCUCUGUGACUUGGGAUUCAAGCAAUGAGAAUACUGUUUCUCUGUGAGUUAUUAGUGAACUCCCAACAGCUGCUCCCAUGCAGGAAUCCUACCCUCUGUGUCUGCACAGGUCCUUUGGCCUCAGCAUCUGUGCAGGACCCCCGCAUCAGCACACACACACAGGACGCCCUGACUGCCCACCUGUGCAGGAUCCCCAGCUACUGCUCUCACACAGGACCUCCAGCCACCACUCCUGUGUAGGAACCAGGUCGCUGCGCUCAUGUGGACUCCCAUCUACCAACAUUGGGCUGCUAUGGUCAACUCCAUCUUGAGACAUUGCAACUGCUGCCACAGCCCCCAUCAUGCAGAAGCCUACACCUGGGGACAAUGGACAGGGUCUAGAGAGAGUGGCCUGCCACAACAUUGCACGCCAUAGAGCUGCAUCUCUGAACACACUGCCCAAUGCCACCGCCUGGCCCACCUGACACUCAAUCUCUGAAAGUGGCUGCCUCCAUCUAGGGACACCUUUUUCACCAUCUUAGGUUAUCCUUGCAAUCAUCAUCACCAUCUUUAGUUGGGGCAACUUCCAGCUUGGGACAUUAGCUGGGACCUAGAAGCAAUAUCAAGUUACCUAUAGUCCUGCAACUCUCCCUUCUCCCCUACAGCAACUAACCAGGCACAGUGCUUGUAAUUAUGUGGCUAGUCCCUAGCUCACAAAGCCUGGUUCUGAUCUUCCUGAUAGAAAUUAGCUUUCCACUACAGGUGCGCAGACCCAAGAGUGCAGCCCACAAGACCUCUAGAGAGAGAUUUCUGAUGUUAUUUCAUUGAAUACAUUAUUCAUUCCUUGGUUUAUAACUCUAUGCCCUCUACUAUCCCAAUAAUUUUUUUUUUAAAUUUGGUCUUUUUAUGUUUUCCCAUAAUUCUUGGAUAUUUUGCUCAUGGUUUCUUACCAUCUUUACUGUGUUGGUCAGCUUCAUUUUCAAGAUUAUAUAUUUUGACUUCAUUGUCUGAGGUUCUGUCUUCCAAGUGAUCUAAUCUGUUGGGAAUAUUUUCUAUUUAGUUUUUAAUUUGUUUUAUUGUUUCUUUCAUUUCAAUGAUUUCUGUUUGUUUGUUGUUUUCAGAAUAUUUAUCUUCUUAUUGAUAUCAGAUCAUAAUAGAAUGAAAUUAGAAAUCAAUAAUAAAAUAAAAAAUGGAAGUUACCCCAAUACCCGGAGACUAAAUAAUGAUAUUGAAUGAAAGCUUCAUGGAAGAAAGAAGAGAAGGCCUAAAACUCAGAAUUUAGCAUUCUUGGUCCAACUAAUCAUGUGCACAAGUUAGAAAAGGGCAGGUAACUUUGGGUCACAACAUUCAAAAGAAUUCCGUUUCUUUCAUAAUCAUCUUGCCUGGGGUUAUGGAAUUCUCUGAGUUUAGCUCUUAUUUCACUGAAGUUCAGUUUCAGUUUAUAUAUGUUCAGUAGUAGUUGAAAUUCAGAAUUCAAUUUUCUGGAAAACCCAGUUCACAUAAGAGGUAAACAGUUAGAGGCAACUAUAUUAUGUGGGAAUUUAGGAAAGGAGUAAAGGUAGGAUAUCUGGGAAAAGGAAGAUGGAGGGAGAAAUGUAAUGAAGUUUAGAAGAUAGAUUGGAAAGAUAUGGGGAAAUGGGAAAGAACUACAUAAGGAGAGAACUAAAAGAUAGGGAAAAGGUAAAUUUUUUAAAGAGAAAGAGAGAGGGAG